This 247-nucleotide long non-coding RNA is filed under the name Elaeis guineensis (African oil palm). Its description in RNAcentral is "long non-coding RNA (EGUI_LNC014994)". Lineage: Eukaryota; Viridiplantae; Streptophyta; Magnoliopsida; Arecales; Arecaceae. The record is from RNAcentral.
CUCCUAAUAAAAAAGAUAAGAAAACUCUUCCACGUGCCCUCUCCUCUCCUCUCUUUUCUUCUAUCCGAUUUUCUUUCUCCAUGUGCUCUCCUAUAUGUCACAAAUGUAAGACUAACAGGAACUAAAAACAAAGUUGGAGAGGUUCAAAAUUAGUCAGAAGCUGUUGUUGUGGAUUCAGAUUUUAAUGAUACUCGAUAAUUCACGCACUGUAAGUACUAACUCAUCAUUAAAAUAAUCAUCAAGAACC